AGUGAACGCUGGCGGCAGGCCUAACACAUGCAAGUCGAGCGGCAGCGCGUCCGACCACCCUCGGGUGGUCGGAUGGCGGCGAGCGGCGGACGGGUGAGGAAUGCAUCGGAAUCUGCCUCGUUGUGGGGGAUAACGUAGGGAAACUUACGCUAAUACCGCAUACGACCUACGGGUGAAAGUGGGGGACCUUCGGGCCUCACGCGAUGAGAUGAGCCGAUGCCGGAUUAGCUAGUUGGCGGGGUAAAGGCCACCAAGGCGACGAUCCGUAGCUGGUCUGAGAGGAUGAUCAGCCACACUGGAACUGAGACACGGUCCAGACUCCUACGGGAGGCAGCAGUGGGGAAUAUUGGACAAUGGGGGCAACCCUGAUCCAGCCAUGCCGCGUGAGUGAAGAAGGCCCUCGGGUUGUAAAGCUCUUUGUCCGGAAAGAAAGCACUGGGUUAAUACCCCGGUGUCCUGACGGUACCGGAAGAAUAAGCACCGGCUAACUUCGUGCCAGCAG
RNAcentral lists this ribosomal RNA (502 nucleotides) under uncultured bacterium. RNAcentral describes it as "bacterial SSU rRNA". It matches the Rfam family "Bacterial small subunit ribosomal RNA", at positions 29 to 514 of the family's 1533-position model. The record is from RNAcentral.